UCAAACCGAUCCAGGAGGGGGCUUGCGUUCUCACACAAACCCCUUUUUAAAAAGUGUAGAAUGACCCCAUUUUUGCGAUAACACGCAAUCAAUACAACUUUCAACAACGGAUCUCUUGGCUCUCGCAUCGAUGAAGAACGCAGCGAAAUGCGAUACGUAAUGUGAAUUGCAGAAUUCAGUGAAUCAUCGAAUCUUUGAACGCACCUUGCGCCCCUUGGUAUUCCGAGGGGCACACCCGUUUGAGUGUCGUGAAAAUCUCAACCUCCUCGGUUUCUUCUGGACACCGAAGGAGGCUUGGACUUUGGAGGCCUUUGCUGGCGUCUCUCGCCAGCUCCUCUCAAAUGAAUUAGCGGGGUCCUCUUUGCCGAUCCUCGACGUGUGAUAAGAUGUUUCCAUGUCUUGGUUUCUGGCUCUGUUGCUUUUGGGACCCGCUUCUAACCGUCUCAACCCGAGACAAUGUUUGAGCGUGUCUCCCUUCUCGGGAAACGCCCUCAAGCCCACGAACCCUUGACCUCAAAUCGGGUGAGACUACCCGCUGAACUUAAGCAUA
This 550-nucleotide unclassified non-coding RNA is filed under the name uncultured Lactarius. RNAcentral's name for it is "sequence contains ITS1, 5.8S rRNA gene and ITS2". The stretch from base 96 to 249 matches the Rfam family "5.8S ribosomal RNA". Lineage: Eukaryota; Fungi; Basidiomycota; Agaricomycetes; Russulales; Russulaceae. The record is from RNAcentral.